AGCGGAAUGGAUGAUCGCGCGCCAGGCUUAGCCUGUCUCGAGGAAAGUCCGGGCUUCACAGGGCAGGAUGCCGGAUAACGUCCGGCGGAGGCGACUCCCGGGAAAGUGCAGCAGAAAAUAUACAGCCGUGCAAACGGUAAUGGUGAAAAGGCAGUGUAAGAGACUACCGGUCAGGCGGUAACGCAUGACGCAUUGUAAACCCCAUCCGAAGCAAGAUCAAACAGAGGGCUAUGGGUCUGCCCGGCCCGCUCUCAGGUGGAUCGCUUGAGCCAUACGGCAACGUAUGGCCUAGACAGAUGAUCAUCCCGGCACAUUGUGCUAUGACAGAACCCGGCUUACAGUUCCGCUCUA
Molecule: RNase P RNA, 351 nt
Filed under: bovine gut metagenome
Also listed under: 1 other name
Description: Bacterial RNase P class A
Rfam family: Bacterial RNase P class A
About the family: Ribonuclease P (RNase P) is a ubiquitous endoribonuclease, found in archaea, bacteria and eukarya as well as chloroplasts and mitochondria. Its best characterised activity is the generation of mature 5'-ends of tRNAs by cleaving the 5'-leader elements of precursor-tRNAs.
Source: RNAcentral